CUUGCUUCGGCCCGUAAAAUACUAAAAAUUUGGAAAAGAUAAGAGAAGAUUUGCAUGGCCCUGCGCAAGGAUGGAAAAAGCAAAAACGUUUGAAGCGUUCCCAUUUUCA
This is a non-coding RNA of Cherax quadricarinatus, 109 nucleotides long. NCBI's taxonomy places the organism in Eukaryota, Metazoa, Arthropoda, Malacostraca, Decapoda, Parastacidae. The record is from RefSeq and is a predicted model, not a curated record.